This 1585-nucleotide long non-coding RNA is filed under the name Helianthus annuus (common sunflower). RNAcentral describes it as "hypothetical non coding rna". Lineage: Eukaryota; Viridiplantae; Streptophyta; Magnoliopsida; Asterales; Asteraceae. The record is from RNAcentral.
UCUCAAUACUUUCUUUCAAAACUUCACAACUGUCGUAGAUGACCAAGUACAGCGGCUGUGGUGGUUCGAUCAUGUUCAUCACUAACAAUUUACGAGAUUACCGGUGGGGCGGUAAUCCGUUAUGGCGGACAAGGGGAUGGUGAGACGAUUCACAACGCCGACGGGCGGCGAUUAGGGCCCUACAAGUAGAAUAUGGCUGCUAACAAGUCAAAUGGAGUAGUUGACCUCCGCCGAUAUACAAGGUUGCUCAGAUCAGUAGAAUCAAAGGUUAAUCGGCAAACAACUUCCUGACAAUCAGGAUUCUGUGCGCCGUUAGCUGAGGCGGUGGUGGUGCACGUGUCAGCGGUGUAUAUGGUGGCGGUGGUGAACAUGGUUGUUGUUUUCUUCUACCUGUGAAAUGCAGGGUGCUUCAUGGGUUGAAUAGAGAACUUUGCAAUGAUAUUAGUAGCAAGCUUAUAAGAUUUAUGCAUAAGUAGACAUAAAAUACUAAACUUUUGUGUUAAAUGCUCUUCUAUUUAUCUUAUAGUUAUGUUGCAGAAUAGGAUAAUCCAGUUGGGACAGGAUACAGUUUUGUGGAGGAUGAAGAGUUAUUGGUGAAAAUAGAUGAAGAAGCUGCUAGGGACUUAACUACAUUGUUGAUUAAAUUAUUUAACAGAUAUGUCGUACUGCAGGUUUAGUACGUCCUAUGACAAAUACUCACAUCAUCACAUGACCAGAGAGAUCUGGGACAACGUCGACACCAACGAUUAGUUUCAAGAAAGGGAAAAUUAAAGGAGAAGCAGAAGAUAGAUUUUUUUAUCUGAACCCAAAUAAAGAUAAAGUGAAGCGGAAGAACUGAAUCGGCGAUGCAGAGAUAUGCAGUCAUUAACCUUUGAGGAAAGAAAGGUCAACCCGCUCCACCUCCAGGUACACAUGCAUAAAGGCCAGACCAAAAAACAAUUAGCCAAUUACAAAUCUCCUCGGAUGCAAGUGAUGACCUGUCAACAAAAGGAAAACUUUUUUCAUGAAAGAAUUUCACACGCCUAUGUUUGUAUUGUAAGUCGUAGGAUAACGGAUUUUUUCAAAGAUGGAAGACAUUUUGACUUGGAAUAAUACGUUUUGAUUCGAGGGUAUUUAAUUCGAGUUACUUUGUGUUUUAGCCAGCCGCAAUGACGGAGGGACUGGGUGUUACACCUUCACCUUCAAUCUCAUCGUCGUCUUCCCUCACCAUCGCCUCGGUAACCAGCCUUGACAACACCAACAUUGGUAACCAAGCGGAUUCUCUUUGAUUGACUGCAUGUUGGCUUUUGCGGCUUCCCAAUGUCUCUUAUUGCUGCACCAGUCCACCACCAUGGCGUGACAACUUGACAAGCAAGGAAAAAAGCAUAGCAGAUGACGCCUGGCGUUGCAUGCCAAAAUGAAACAACUAGCAAGUGCAUCGUAAAGACAUAAAUGUAUCUUGUAAUGGUUUGUGGUUCCCUAACCGGUUUUCAUGGGAUUUUAGUGACUAGAUGUAACUGGUGUAUUACUCUUCAUGAAUGUACUUCAUGGGUAUGUUUUUGCUAAAAUUUAUUUUUCCUUUCUAUGAUUGCUGGAUGUUGGUGUU